GACGAACGCUGGCGGCGUGCUUAACACAUGCAAGUCGAACGGAAAGGCCCUGCUUUUGUGGUGUGCUCGAGUGGCGAACGGGUGUGUAACACGUGAGUAACCUGCCCUUGACUUUGGGAUAACUUCAGGAAACUGGGGCUAAUACCUGAUAGGAGCUCCUGCUGCAUGGUGGGGGUUGGUAAGUUUCGGCGGUUGGGGAUGGACUCGCGGCUUAUCAGCUUGUUGGUGGGGUAGUGGCUUACCAAGGCUUUGACGGGUAGCCGGCCUGAGAGGGUGACCGGCCACAAUGGGACUGAGAGACGGCACAGAAGCCAACGGGAGGCAGAAGUGGGGAAUAUUGCACAAUGGGCGGAAGCAUGAUGCAGCAACGCCGCGGGCGGGAUGACGGCCUUCGGGUUGGAAACCGCUUUCGCAUGUGACGAAGCGUGAGUGACGGUAAUGGGUAAAGAAGCACCGGCUAACUACGUG
Molecule: ribosomal RNA, 468 nt
Filed under: uncultured bacterium
Lineage: Bacteria
Description: partial 16S ribosomal RNA
Rfam family: Bacterial small subunit ribosomal RNA
Source: RNAcentral